UAUUUACUUAGUUUACUUAUUUUCUUUUUAUUUCUUUUUAUUGAAUAUUUUUCCCUCUCUUUUUUUAUAUCAUUCCUUAAGUCCCAUAGGUUUGAUCCUUUAGAAUUUGACCCAUUUUCUCAUUGAGCGAAGGGUACGAAAUAAAUCAGAUUGAUUUUUCGAUCAAAAAUACUAUGUGAAAUCUUCGGUUUUUCCUCUUCCUAUAUCCCAUAGGUACAAUCAAUAGAGAACCUUUUCUUCUGUAUGAAUCGAUAUUAUUCCAUUCCAAUUCCUUCCCGAUACCUCCCAAGGAAAAUCUCGAAUUGGAUCCCAAAUUGACGGGUUAGUGUGAGCUUAUCCAUGCGGUUAUGCACUCUUUGAAUAGGAAUCCUUUUUCUGAAAGAUCCCGGCUUUCGUGCUUUGGUGGGUCUCCGAGAUCCUUUCGAUGACCUAUGUUGUGUUGAAGGGAUAUCUAUAUAAUCCGAUCGAUUGCGUAAAGCCCGCGGUAGCAACGGAACCGGGGAAAGUAUACAGAAAAGACAGUUCUUUUCUAUUAUAUUAGUAUUUUCUAUUAGAUUAGAU
Molecule: long non-coding RNA, 561 nt
Filed under: Panax ginseng (ginseng)
Lineage: Eukaryota; Viridiplantae; Streptophyta; Magnoliopsida; Apiales; Araliaceae
Description: long non-coding RNA (PGIN_LNC006773)
Source: RNAcentral